RNAcentral lists this long non-coding RNA (686 nucleotides) under Amphimedon queenslandica. RNAcentral describes it as "uncharacterized LOC109586291". The record is from RNAcentral. Lineage: Eukaryota; Metazoa; Porifera; Demospongiae; Haplosclerida; Niphatidae.
AUCAAAACUAUUCAUAAUUUUAGAUCGUCAUGUGAUUUGUGCUGAAUUUCGAUUCAAUCCCAGUUUUGAGUCCUGUAAUCGUAACUCAAGUUUAUUAGUUACUACAUAUAGAAGCUCGUACUAGCAUUUUUCUUGUACUGGUAUAUUACCAUCACAGUACUACCAUAUUUUUGUCGGCAUCACUGGGCACAGUUGGGAAGAGGUACACAGAUACAGGAGGCUCCUCACCAUCCCAAUAUCUAUUCAACCCUAUAUACAUAAUGUUUAUAUUUUUAAAAAUUUAGAAUAAUAUUUUUGUAUUUACUUCUUCCAGUAGAUCGUUGAAUGUUACAACUGCUACCAGUACUAGGAUCUGAAUGAGGACCAUGUUGGGGUCUUUUGCUGGAACCACUUAUACUUGAUGAUGGUGGCUGAUAUAUGGUAGUCGGCAGGGCUGUCUGGUCCCAGUGGUGGCGGUUCUUGGGCUGGUUUUCUGUGUAGUAGUGAGGGCUAUUCCCUUGCCACUAUCACUUAUUACCUGCCUGACAGCAUCAUUGACCGUGUUUCUUAGGCUGUUGGCAGAUUUUUCAGAAUAUACAAUAUAAUAUUUGAUAAUAAUGUAAAAUUAUUACUUCAAGUCAAUUAUACCGUUUCUCUCCUUGCUAGGUGUACUUGUAGGUUAACUUUCUCACCUUUGCUAAUUUUAA